UAUCUCUGUAGAGUCUGCAUAUCAAUAAGCGGAGGAAAAGAAACUAACAAGGAUUCCCUUAGUAACGGCGAGUGAAGCGGGAAGAGCUCAAAUUUGAAAUCUUCGAGGUUUUACCUUGACGAAUUGUAGUUUAAAGAGGUGUUUUCUGUUGGUGUUUUGGUAAAAGUUCUUUGGAAUAGGACAUCAUAGAGGGUGAGAAUCCCGUAUUUGACCAUUACUUCCAGCGUUGUGAUACACUUUCAAAGAGUCGGAUUGUUUGGGAAUGCAGUCCAAAAUGGGUGGUAAAUUUCAUCUAAAGCUAAAUAUUGGCGAGAGACCGAUAGCGAACAAGUACCGUGAGGGAAAGAUGAAAGGAACUUUGAAAAGAGAGUUAAACAGUACGUGAAAUUGUCAAAAGGGAAGCGUUUGACACCAGUGUUGUUUUCUCGAAAAUCAAUUAAAAAUGGCUUGAUUUUGUGUUGUAUUGACCUUAAAAGCUUUCUUCACUUUUUUCAUGUCUUUUUUAAUGCGCUUUUCGUUUAACAAGUCAACAUCAAUUUCUUUUGUUGUAAAAGGGUCAUUGGAAGGUGGCUUUCUUUUCGGAGAAAGUGUUUAUAGCCUUUGGCCUCUGCAAUCGGAGAGAUUGAGGUCUGCAGCGUAGAUCCUUCGGGGUUAGAUACAUUUGUGCUAAGUUAUAGCCUUUCAUAGACAACUUGUUGACUAUGAUUAGUCAUGUCGGCUUACUCGCUUAUGCUAUUUUACCUACGCUUAGGAUGUUGAUCUGUAGUGCGUGCGC
This 775-nucleotide ribosomal RNA is filed under the name uncultured Neocallimastigales. RNAcentral describes it as "partial large subunit ribosomal RNA". It matches the Rfam family "Eukaryotic large subunit ribosomal RNA", at positions 24 to 606 of the family's 3401-position model. The record is from RNAcentral. Lineage: Eukaryota; Fungi; Neocallimastigomycota; Neocallimastigomycetes; Neocallimastigales.